AUGUUCAUCCUUUUCAGUUCAUCUUUGAAAUGUUGGUCCAUUUUCUUUCUGCAGGAUGCGUCAAAAAAAUCGAAGGCAGCAGCUCAAAAAGAUGAAAUUUGUAAGUCCAUUGCCAUGUUGAGGUCUGUUACCCUUCAACUUAUAGACAUAUAUACUCAGUUAUUGUCGAAAUCUAUCUCAUUGAAACCUACUGUACAAUCCAAAUUAUCAGUUUUUGUUCGAGUGGGAGUCAAAGAACAAAGCUCCAAUAUCCACUUAGAUAGCAGUGCUGGUCAUUUACAUCGCAAUCUGCACUUACUUGUGAUCAACAGAGACUGGCGUGAAUUUCCCCUAAAAUAG
RNAcentral lists this ribosomal RNA (339 nucleotides) under Triticum aestivum (bread wheat). RNAcentral describes it as "partial small subunit ribosomal RNA". The record is from RNAcentral. Lineage: Eukaryota; Viridiplantae; Streptophyta; Magnoliopsida; Poales; Poaceae.